RNAcentral lists this ribosomal RNA (1447 nucleotides) under uncultured Ralstonia sp. Its description in RNAcentral is "bacterial SSU rRNA". It matches the Rfam family "Bacterial small subunit ribosomal RNA". The record is from RNAcentral. Lineage: Bacteria; Pseudomonadati; Pseudomonadota; Betaproteobacteria; Burkholderiales; Burkholderiaceae.
ACACAUGCAAGUCGAACGGCAGCAUGAUCUAGCUUGCUAGAUUGAUGGCGAGUGGCGAACGGGUGAGUAAUACAUCGGAACGUGCCCUGUAGUGGGGGAUAACUAGUCGAAAGAUUAGCUAAUACCGCAUACGACCUGAGGGUGAAAGUGGGGGACCGCAAGGCCUCAUGCUAUAGGAGCGGCCGAUGUCUGAUUAGCUAGUUGGUGAGGUAAAGGCUCACCAAGGCGACGAUCAGUAGCUGGUCUGAGAGGACGAUCAGCCACACUGGGACUGAGACACGGCCCAGACUCCUACGGGAGGCAGCAGUGGGGAAUUUUGGACAAUGGGGGCAACCCUGAUCCAGCAAUGCCGCGUGUGUGAAGAAGGCCUUCGGGUUGUAAAGCACUUUUGUCCGGAAAGAAAUCGCACUUACUAAUAUUAGGUGUGGAUGACGGUACCGGAAGAAUAAGGACCGGCUAACUACGUGCCAGCAGCCGCGGUAAUACGUAGGGUCCAAGCGUUAAUCGGAAUUACUGGGCGUAAAGCGUGCGCAGGCGGUUGUGCAAGACCGAUGUGAAAUCCCCGGGCUUAACCUGGGAAUUGCAUUGGUGACUGCACGGCUAGAGUGUGUCAGAGGGGGGUAGAAUUCCACGUGUAGCAGUGAAAUGCGUAGAGAUGUGGAGGAUACCGAUGGCGAAGCAGCCCCUGGGAUACACUGACGCUCAUGCACGAANGCGUGGGGNAGCAANCAGGAUUAGAUACCCUGGUAGUCCACGCCCUAAACGAUGUCAACUAGUUGUUGGGGAUUCAUUUCCUUAGUAACGUAGCUAACGCGUGAAGUUGACCGCCUGGGGAGUACGGUCGCAAGAUUAAAACUCAAAGGAAUUGACGGGGACCCGCACAAGCGGUGGAUGAUGUGGAUUAAUUCGAUGCAACGCGAAAAACCUUACCUACCCUUGACAUGCCACUAACGAAGCAGAGAUGCAUUAGGUGCUCGAAAGAGAAAGUGGACACAGGUGCUGCAUGGCUGUCGUCAGCUCGUGUCGUGAGAUGUUGGGUUAAGUCCCGCAACGAGCGCAACCCUUGUCUCUAGUUGCUACGAAAGGGCACUCUAGAGAGACUGCCGGUGACAAACCGGAGGAAGGUGGGGAUGACGUCAAGUCCUCAUGGCCCUUAUGGGUAGGGCUUCACACGUCAUACAAUGGUGCAUACAGAGGGUUGCCAAGCCGCGAGGUGGAGCUAAUCCCAGAAAAUGCAUCGUAGUCCGGAUCGUAGUCUGCAACUCGACUACGUGAAGCUGGAAUCGCUAGUAAUCGCGGAUCAGCAUGCCGCGGUGAAUACGUUCCCGGGUCUUGUACACACCGCCCGUCACACCAUGGGAGUGGGUUUUGCCAGAAGUAGUUAGCCUAACCGCAAGGGGGGCGAUUACCACGGCAGGGUUCAUGACUGGGGUGAAGUCGUAACAAG